Long non-coding RNA from Solanum tuberosum (potato), 101 nucleotides. RefSeq lists it as uncharacterized. The transcript is spliced from 3 exons. The record is from RefSeq and is a predicted model, not a curated record. NCBI's taxonomy places the organism in Eukaryota, Viridiplantae, Streptophyta, Magnoliopsida, Solanales, Solanaceae.
CUGAAUAUGAGUGAACUCAGUGUUUUGGACGGCGAGAGGCGACAAGGGCCUGCCUCGCCACGCGGCGAGGCGAGCGGCGAGGCGCUCGCCUUUUUGAAUCG